UGCGUAGGCGGAUAAAUAAGUCAGAGGUGAAAUCCUACAGCUUAACUGUAGAACUGCCUUUGAUACUGUUUAUCUUGAAUUAAGUUAAGGUCAGCGGAAUGUGGCAUGUAGCGGUGAAAUGCUUAGAUAUGCCAUAGAACACCAAUUGCGAAGGCAGCUGGCUGGGCCUUAAUUGACGCUGAGGCACGAAAGCGUGGGGAGCGAACAGGAUUAGAUACCCUGGUAGUCC
Molecule: ribosomal RNA, 229 nt
Filed under: uncultured bacterium
Lineage: Bacteria
Description: partial 16S ribosomal RNA
Rfam family: Bacterial small subunit ribosomal RNA
Source: RNAcentral